Long non-coding RNA from Homo sapiens (human), 566 nucleotides. Ensembl annotates it as long intergenic non-protein coding RNA 1580. NCBI's taxonomy places the organism in Eukaryota, Metazoa, Chordata, Mammalia, Primates, Hominidae. The record is from Ensembl.
AGGGACCAUGGGGAUUGAAGGGCUUGCAUGAAUAUCAGCAGCAGCUUCAAGUGGAGAAUCUUUCAUCAGAAAAGGAGAAAAAUAAGUAGCCUAAGGAGAUUUGCUAGUUUGAGUCCUGGGAGAUGAGAUGGGGAAGAUGGGCCCAAGCUGCAACAUGAAGGUCCAUGAUGAACAGUUGGCAUCUCCUACAGUGCCUGCCACUUGGUAAUGUUCAAUGCAGCCAAGGGAGCUAAGGUAAUGAACAAAACAGAGAAGUUCCUACCCUCCCUGAUGUUCAUUCUAGCAAAUGGAGACAGAUGAUAGAAACUGCACAUCAUUGAGCAAGAGGGACACCAUGGAUAAUGGAAAGAUCUACGGCAAGGCUGGCUGUCUGCCCUGUCUAAGGAGGACGUACUGGACCAUCCUGCUCUGCACAUCCAGAUGUGUCCAUGAAUACAUCCAUAAAACGAUGGCCUGUGGAAUCCUAUAGGAAAAUGAUCCAGAGCCUGGGCGGUCAGAAGGAACAAACACUUGAUUUACAAAAUAAAUCUUCUAUGUUUAUGUUUUAAAGACACACAGAGGAAAAA